This 253-nucleotide ribosomal RNA is filed under the name uncultured bacterium. RNAcentral's name for it is "partial 16S ribosomal RNA". It matches the Rfam family "Bacterial small subunit ribosomal RNA", at positions 524 to 776 of the family's 1533-position model. The record is from RNAcentral.
UACAGAGAGUGCGAGCGUUAAUCGGAAUUACUGGGCGUAAAGCGCGCGUAGGUGGGUGUCUAAGUCGAAUGUGAAAUCCCUGGGCUUAACCUAGGAAUUGCAUCCGAUACUAUUCACCUUGAGUAUGGUAGAGGGAAGUGGAAUUUCCGGUGUAGCGGUGAAAUGCGUAGAUAUCGGAAGGAACACCAGUGGCGAAGGCGGCUUCCUGGACCAAUACUGACACUGAGGUGCGAAAGCGUGGGGAGCAAACAGG